RNAcentral lists this small nucleolar RNA (106 nucleotides) under Gossypium hirsutum (cotton). RNAcentral describes it as "Plant small nucleolar RNA R71". It matches the Rfam family "Plant small nucleolar RNA R71". Rfam says of the family: R71 is a member of the C/D box family of snoRNAs containing the C (UGAUGA) and D (CUGA) box motifs. Multiple nearly identical copies of this snoRNA have been identified in Arabidopsis, and it is thought to function as a 2'-O-ribose methylation guide for 18S ribosomal RNA. The record is from Rfam by way of RNAcentral. Lineage: Eukaryota; Viridiplantae; Streptophyta; Magnoliopsida; Malvales; Malvaceae. RNAcentral also lists the same sequence under 1 other name.
AUCCCAUGACGAGGACACUUACGAAGUAAUUCCUUGAAUAUUUCCUAUGCCACGUACAAAGAUUCGUCAUCCAAUUGUUAAAAAAUGGUUAUCUCAUUUUGCAACU